AGGCCACUGCUAUCGGAGUUCGAUUAAGCCAUGCGAGUCGAGAGGUGUAAGACCUCGGCAUACUGCUCAGUAACACGUGGACAACCUACCCUGAAGGGGGGGAUAACCCCGGGAAACUGGGGAUAAUACCCCAUAGAUUAUGGAUGCUGGAAUGCUCUGUAGUUGAAAGGUCCGCUGCUUCAGGAUGGGUCUGCGGCCGAUUAGGUUGUUGUUGGGGUAACGGCCCAACAAGCCUGUAAUCGGUACGGGUUGUGGGAGCAAGAGCCCGGAGAUGGAUUCUGAGACACGAAUCCAGGCCCUACGGGGCGCAGCAGGCGCGAAAACUUUACAAUGCGAGCAAUCGUGAUAAGGGAACUCCGAGUGCCUGUAAAAUCAGGCUGUCCGCCAGUGUAAAUAACUGGUGAAGAAAGGGCCGGGCAAGACCGGUGCCAGCCGCCGCGGUAAUACCGGCGGCUCGAGUGGUGGCCACUAUUACUGGGCUUAAAGCGUUCGUAGCUGGUCUGUUAAGUCUCUGGGGAAAUCUUCCGGCUUAACCGGAAGGCGUCUCAGGGAUACUGGCAGACUAGGGACCGGAAGAGGUGAGAGGUACUCCAGGGGUAGGAGUGAAAUCCUGUAAUCCUUGGGGGGACCACCUGUGGCGAAGGCGUCUCACCAGGACGGCUCCGACAGUGAGGAACGAAAGCUGGGGGAGCAAACCGGAUUAGAUACCCGGGUAGUCCCAGCUGUAAACGAUGCGCGUUAGGUGUAUCGGUGACCACGAGUCACCGAGGUGCCGAAGAGAAAUCGUGAAACGUGCCGCCUGGGAAGUACCGGUCGCAAGGCUGAAACUUAA
Molecule: ribosomal RNA, 832 nt
Filed under: uncultured soil archaeon
Lineage: Archaea
Description: bacterial SSU rRNA
Rfam family: Archaeal small subunit ribosomal RNA
Source: RNAcentral